AAAAACAUGUNUUUUUGAAAAUAAUUUAAGGUUUAAUCUGCCCACUGAUGAAAAUUGAAGGGCUGCAGUAUAUUGACUGUACAAAGGUAGCAUAAUCAAUAGUCUUUUAAUUGAAGACUUGUAUGAAUGAUUUGAUGAAAUAUAAACUGUCUCUGAUUUAAAUAUAGAAUUUAAUUUUUUAGUCAAAAAGCUAAAAUGAUUUUAAAAGACGAGAAGACCCUAUAGAGUUUUAUAUUUAAAUUAUUUAAUAUUUUAUAUAUAAAUUAUAAUAAAAAUUAAUUAAAAUAUUUUAUUGGGGUGAUAGAAAAAUUUAAGAAACUUUUUUUAAAAAAAAUCAUAAAUAAAUGAAAUAAUGAUCCAUAAUUAAUGAUUAAAAGAAAAAAUUACCUUAGGGAUAACAGCGUAAUUUUUUUUUUUAGUUCAAAUAAGAAAAAGAGAUUGCGACCUCGAUGUUGGAUUAAGAUAAAAUUUAAAUGCAAAAGUUUAAAAUUUUGAUCUGUUCGAUCAUUAAAAUCUUACAUGAUC
This 525-nucleotide ribosomal RNA is filed under the name Parantica aglea (glassy tiger). RNAcentral's name for it is "partial 16S ribosomal RNA". The stretch from base 394 to 525 matches the Rfam family "Bacterial large subunit ribosomal RNA", at positions 2473 to 2605 of the family's 2925-position model. Lineage: Eukaryota; Metazoa; Arthropoda; Insecta; Lepidoptera; Nymphalidae. The record is from RNAcentral.